RNAcentral lists this transfer RNA (109 nucleotides) under Malassezia equina. RNAcentral describes it as "tRNA-Ala". It matches the Rfam family "tRNA". From Rfam's summary of the family: Transfer RNA (tRNA) molecules are approximately 80 nucleotides in length. Lineage: Eukaryota; Fungi; Basidiomycota; Malasseziomycetes; Malasseziales; Malasseziaceae. The record is from RNAcentral.
GGGCGUGUGGUCUAGUGGUAUGACGUCUGCUUCGCACGAAACUUGCGACCCAACAAGGGUAGAACCUUGAGUCAGCAGAAGGUCCCGGGUUCAAAUCCCGUCUCGUCCA